GUGCUUGCUUUGGCCGCACAUAUACAAAAAUUGGAACGACACAGAGAAGACGAGCAUGGCCCCUGCACAAGGAUGACACGCAAAUUCGUGAGGCACUCCAUACUUAA
Small nuclear RNA from Phacochoerus africanus (Common warthog), 107 nucleotides. The record is from RefSeq and is a predicted model, not a curated record. NCBI's taxonomy places the organism in Eukaryota, Metazoa, Chordata, Mammalia, Artiodactyla, Suidae.